GUGCUUGCACUUCCCUAGAGCGGCGGACUGGUGAGUAACGCGUGGGUGAUCUACCUCGGGGUUGGGGAUAGCCAUUAGAAAUAGUGGGUAAUACCGAAUACGCUUCCAGGGCUACGGCCUUGGAAGGAAAGGCGCUACGGCGCCGACCUGAGAUGAGCCCGCGUCCCAUUAGCUAGUUGGUGAGGUAACGGCCCACCAAGGCGAUGAUGGGUAGGCGGCCUGAGAGGGUGUACGCCCACAUUGGGACUGAGAUACGGCCCAAACUCCUACGGGAGGCAGCAGCUAAGAAUAUUCCGCAAUGGACGAAAGUCUGACGGAGCGACGCCGCGUGGAUGAUGAAGGCCGGAAGGUUGUAAAAUCCUUUUGUCGGGGAAGAAUAAGCGCGGGAGGGAAUGCUCGCGUGAUGACAUGAACCGGCGAAUAAGCCCCGGCUAACUACGUGCCAGCAGCCGCGGUAACACGUA
RNAcentral lists this ribosomal RNA (464 nucleotides) under uncultured Spirochaetota bacterium. RNAcentral's name for it is "bacterial SSU rRNA". It matches the Rfam family "Bacterial small subunit ribosomal RNA", at positions 76 to 529 of the family's 1533-position model. Lineage: Bacteria; Pseudomonadati; Spirochaetota. The record is from RNAcentral.